Molecule: ribosomal RNA, 621 nt
Filed under: Trieres chinensis
Lineage: Eukaryota; Bacillariophyta; Thalassiosirophyceae; Eupodiscales; Parodontellaceae
Description: eukaryotic LSU rRNA
Rfam family: Eukaryotic large subunit ribosomal RNA
Source: RNAcentral
CCGCUGAAUUUAAGCAUAUAAUUAAGCGGAGGAAAAGAAACUAACAAGGAUUCCCCUAGUAACGGCGAGUGAAGCGGGAAAAGCUCAAAAUGUGAAUCUGCGUAACCCGCCUUAACCGGCGGGCGCGCCGAAUUGUGGUCUAUAGAGGUGUCGUCGGCCGCGGUCUCGGGCCAAGUCCCUUGGAAAAGGGCAGCUGAGAGGGUGAGACUCCCGUUCUUGCCUGAGAUCCGCGCGCCUUGGCAGGCAUUCUCGAAGAGUCGAGUAUUUUGGGAUUGAUGCUCAAAGUGGGAGGUAAAUUCCUUCUAAAGCUAAAUAUAGGUGGGAGACCGAUAGCGCACAAGUACCGUGAGGGAAAGAUGCAAAGAACUUUGAAAAGAGAGUUAAAGAGUACCUGAAAUUGCUGAAAUGGAAGCGAAGGAAACCAGUGCCACAGGCAGGUCAUAUUUCCUCCGCCGCUUGCGGUGGGGGCGCUGUGUCUUGUCGCCGGCCAGCAUGGGUUCUCUUCGGGGCAAGUGGCCGUUCGGGAGGUAGCCCCCUCGUGGGGUGUUCUAACCGGGCGGUUCUGUCCUGGGGGGGAUCGAGGAUAGUCGCGCAAGCGCUCGUGAUGCUGCAAAAUUAUCC